AACUCACAAUUUCGGGCGAGAAAAUUCCCCAAUUUUUCCUUUCCACUUUCUCGAAGGCCAAACAGAAAAGAAAAAAACUGUGAGCAAUGAGGAAGCUGAGCAGAAAAUUAAGAAAUUCACAGGACGCCGAGUUCUCUCUUUCUACUUGCGACGAUCCCGCUCUCAACGAUUCUCGCCCCAUGGAUAAUCGAGCGUUAUCAUGCUUACUUCAUGGAGGAGGUGCACUCAUGGAUGAUUAUAUCUGCAGAUUGGCCAGCUGUUGUAGCAUGUUCAUCAGCAAUCAUAGGAUUACUUCAUGAUUCAAAGUAUCACCGGUGAUGGAUUUGAUACUCACCCUUUACUGGCAUCGUACUCACGGUUUCUGGUUGUAUUACAUGUUGAGAUUGCCAAGGUGGUUCUGCUGGGGUGUAAUUUGGCUUCCUUUUGAACCUCUAAGCGGAGCAAGACUGACUUUGUACGUUGAGCUUUUACAUUGACUCGAGAAUGUCAAGGAUAAAAGAACACAAGGGUCAGCUAUAUUCGUACAAGCUUGAUCCUCAAACUGUUUCAAUCGCAUGGAAAAAUCCCGGUUGAAAUCUAAGGCUACAAACACUGGGGAUCUGCAGGCUUCACGGCAGCACGAGAUUAUCAUAAAAAAAAAACCCAAGGGAAUUGCUUAGAGAGUAAUUUUGAACAAUAUUUUCAUGUAAAUUCUGUAACACAAACAACUAGAGUGAGGGUGAUGAGAGGAUGUUGGUUGAGUUACGUUUUGAAGCAAACAAUCAUUGUUUAAACAGCCGGGGGAGAAGGCGUU
Long non-coding RNA from Malus domestica (apple), 793 nucleotides. RefSeq lists it as uncharacterized. Lineage: Eukaryota; Viridiplantae; Streptophyta; Magnoliopsida; Rosales; Rosaceae. The record is from RefSeq and is a predicted model, not a curated record.